UCCAAGAAGGAAGCCAAGUGUGUACCUUAAAGAGUGGAGAAACAUGUGCCCGUUUUAAGGAUUCUUCCAAGCUGAAAGAGAAAAGUACUUCUGCCUCAGCAUCUCGGAGAAUGUAGUUCUGCUCAUCUGGAAAACAGAACAGCACAUACUCUAAAAAAUGUGGACACGUGAAGUGUGGCAGGUGUGACCCACAAAAUUCUCACCCAUAUUCAGCAUAUGGACCAGUCUGCUGACUGCUGGGCAGGAGCAACCACAUCAUGACAGAAACGCAGGGAUCUGUUCACCAACGGUGAGAAACACAAAUUCAAUCCCUAAGUCAACCAGCGGGUAGAAGGGCUCUUCAGGUGAAAGAAGAUAAAAAAGGUCUAAAAUUUGGAGAAAGAAAAAAUGAUGAAUUAAAAAA
Mandrillus leucophaeus (drill) is the source of this 403-nucleotide long non-coding RNA. RefSeq lists it as uncharacterized. The transcript is spliced from 3 exons. Lineage: Eukaryota; Metazoa; Chordata; Mammalia; Primates; Cercopithecidae. The record is from RefSeq and is a predicted model, not a curated record.